This 73-nucleotide transfer RNA is filed under the name Marmota monax (woodchuck). Its description in RNAcentral is "tRNA.Ala". It matches the Rfam family "tRNA". From Rfam's summary of the family: Transfer RNA (tRNA) molecules are approximately 80 nucleotides in length. Lineage: Eukaryota; Metazoa; Chordata; Mammalia; Rodentia; Sciuridae. The record is from RNAcentral.
UGAAGGUGUAGCUUAGUGGGAAAGCACUUGUCUAGCAUGUGAAAGACUUUGGUUUCAAUCCCCAGCCCUUCAA